CAAUGGCGUAUAUUAAAGUUGUUGCAGUUAAAAAGCUCGUAGUUGGAUUUCUGGUGGGAGCGAUCGGUCUGGCGCUUAGCGCGAGUACUUGCAUCGUCUCCGGCCAUCCUUGGGGAGAGUCUGUCUGGCAUUAAGUUGUCGGGCAGAGGAUCCUCAUCGUUUACUGUGAAAAAAUUAGAGUGUUCAAAGCAGGCUUAUGCCGUUGAAUAUAUUAGCAUGGAAUAAUAAGAUAGGACUUUGGUACUAUUUUGUUGGUUUGCGCACCAAAGUAAUGAUUAAUAGGGACAGUUGGGGGUAUUCGUAUUCCGUUGUCAGAGGUGAAAUUCUUGGAUUUACGGAAGACGAACUACUGCGAAAGCAUUUACCAAGGAUGUUUUCAUUAA
This 383-nucleotide ribosomal RNA is filed under the name uncultured eukaryote. RNAcentral's name for it is "partial 18S ribosomal RNA". It matches the Rfam family "Eukaryotic small subunit ribosomal RNA", at positions 592 to 976 of the family's 1831-position model. The record is from RNAcentral.